This 585-nucleotide ribosomal RNA is filed under the name uncultured bacterium. RNAcentral's name for it is "bacterial SSU rRNA". It matches the Rfam family "Bacterial small subunit ribosomal RNA", at positions 338 to 916 of the family's 1533-position model. The record is from RNAcentral.
CCUACGGGAGGCAGCAGUGGGGAAUUUUGGACAAUGGGCGCAAGCCUGAUCCAGCAAUGCCGCGUGCAGGAUGAAGGCCUUCGGGUUGUAAACUGCUUUUGUACGGAGCGAAACGGUCUGCUUUAAUACAGUGGGCUAAUGACGGUACCGUAAGAAUAAGCACCGGCUAACUACGUGCCAGCAGCCGCGGUAAUACGUAGGGUGCGAGCGUUAAUCGGAAUUACUGGGCGUAAAGCGUGCGCAGGCGGUUAUAUAAGACAGAUGUGAAAUCCCCGGGCUCAACCUGGGACCUGCAUUUGUGACUGUAUAGCUAGAGUAUGGUAGAGGGGGAUGGAAUUCCGCGUGUAGCAGUGAAAUGCGUAGAUAUGCGGAGGAACACCGAUGGCGAAGGCAAUCCCCUGGACCUGUACUGACGCUCAUGCACGAAAGCGUGGGGAGCAAACAGGAUUAGAUACCCUGGUAGUCCACGCCCUAAACGAUGUCAACUGGUUGUUGGGUCUUCACUGACUCAGUAACGAAGCUAACGCGUGAAGUUGACCGCCUGGGGAGUACGGCCGCAAGGUUGAAACUCAAAUGAAUUGACGG